CCUACGGGAGGCAGCAGUGGGGGAUAUUGCACAAUGGGGGGAACCCUGAUGCAGCGACGCCGCGUGGGUGAAGAAGCGCCUCGGCGCGUAAAGCCCUGUCAGCAGGGAAGAAAAUGACGGUACCUGAAGAAGAAGCCCCGGCUAACCACGUGCCAGCAGCCGCGGUAAUACGUAGGGGGCAAGCGUUAUCCGGAUUUACUGGGUGUAAAGGGGGCGCAGACGGCGAUGCAAGCCAGGAGUGAAAGCCCGGGGCCCAACCCCGGGACUGCUCUUGGAACUGCGUGGCUGGAGUGCAGGAGGGGCAGGCGGAAUUCCUGGUGUAGCGGUGAAAUGCGUAGAUAUCAGGAGGAACACCGGUGGCGAAGGCGGCCUGCUGGACUGCAACUGACGCUGAGGCACGAAAGCGUGGGGAGCGAACAGGAUUAGAUACCCUUGUAGUU
This 440-nucleotide ribosomal RNA is filed under the name uncultured bacterium. RNAcentral describes it as "partial 16S ribosomal RNA". It matches the Rfam family "Bacterial small subunit ribosomal RNA", at positions 338 to 795 of the family's 1533-position model. The record is from RNAcentral.